AGUUUGAUCCUGGCUCAGGAUGAACGCUAGCGACAGGCCUAACACAUGCAAGUCGAGGGGCAUCGGGGCGAGGAGCAAUCCUUGCCGCCGGCGACCGGCGCACGGGUGAGUAACGCGUAUGCGACCUGCCCGUUGCAGGGGGAUAAUCGGGAGAAAUCCCGUCUAAUACCGCGUAACGCCGCGGGGCUGCAUGGCCCUGCGGCCAAAGGAAGCGAUUCCGGCAACGGAUGGGCAUGCGUGACAUUAGCUAGUUGGCGGGGCAACGGCCCACCAAGGCGACGAUGUCUAGGGGUUCUGAGAGGAAGGUCCCCCACACUGGUACUGAGACACGGACCAGACUCCUACGGGAGGCAGCAGUGAGGAAUAUUGGUCAAUGGGCGCGAGCCUGAACCAGCCAAGUCGCGUGAGGGAUGACGGCCCUACGGGUUGUAAACCUCUUUUGUCGGGGAGCAAAUUCCGCCACGUGUGGCGGAGUCGAGAGUACCCGAAGAAAAAGCAUCGGCUAACUCCGUG
This 513-nucleotide ribosomal RNA is filed under the name uncultured Bacteroidales bacterium. Its description in RNAcentral is "bacterial SSU rRNA". It matches the Rfam family "Bacterial small subunit ribosomal RNA", at positions 10 to 507 of the family's 1533-position model. The record is from RNAcentral. Lineage: Bacteria; Pseudomonadati; Bacteroidota; Bacteroidia; Bacteroidales.